RNAcentral lists this small RNA (18 nucleotides) under Arabidopsis thaliana (thale cress). Its description in RNAcentral is "ATSL249980". Lineage: Eukaryota; Viridiplantae; Streptophyta; Magnoliopsida; Brassicales; Brassicaceae. The record is from RNAcentral.
UCUUUUUCUUCUUCUUUU